UGCGUAGGCGGAUUAAUAAGUCAGUGGUGAAAUCUUUCGGCUCAACCGGGAAACUGCCAUUGAAACUGUUAAUCUUGAGUUAGGUUGAGGUAGGCGGAAUGUGUAAUGUAGCGGUGAAAUGCUUAGAUAUUACACAGAACACCAAUUGCGUAGGCAGCUUACUGGACCUACACUGACGCUGAGGCACGAAAGCGUGGGGAGCGAACAGGAUUAGAUACCCUGGUAGUC
Molecule: ribosomal RNA, 228 nt
Filed under: uncultured bacterium
Lineage: Bacteria
Description: partial 16S ribosomal RNA
Rfam family: Bacterial small subunit ribosomal RNA
Source: RNAcentral